UGAGGAAUAUUGGUCAAUGGGGGGAACCCUGAACCAGCCAUCCCGCGUGCAGGAAGACAGUUCUAUGGAUUGUAAACUGCUUUUCUUGGGGAAGAAUAAUGACGACGUGUCGUCAGAUGACGGUACCCGAGGAAUAAGCAUCGGCUAACUCCGUGCCAGCAGCCGCGGUAAUACGGAGGAUGCAAGCGUUAUCCGGAUUUAUUAGGUUUAAAGGGUGUGUAGGCGGAUGUAUAAGUCAGUGGUGAAAGUCAGCAGCUUAACUGUAGAAUUGCCAUUGAUACUGUAUGUCUUGAGUGUGGUUGAGGUAUGCGGAAUGUGUAAUGUAGCGGUGAAAUGCAUAGAUAUUACACAGAACACCGAUUGCGAAGGCAGCAUGCUAAGCCACAACUGACGCUGAUGC
This 400-nucleotide ribosomal RNA is filed under the name uncultured bacterium. RNAcentral describes it as "bacterial SSU rRNA". It matches the Rfam family "Bacterial small subunit ribosomal RNA", at positions 355 to 752 of the family's 1533-position model. The record is from RNAcentral.